Molecule: ribosomal RNA, 892 nt
Filed under: uncultured bacterium
Lineage: Bacteria
Description: bacterial SSU rRNA
Rfam family: Bacterial small subunit ribosomal RNA
Source: RNAcentral
UGCAGUCGANCGGCAGCACGGAGCUUGCUCUGGUGGCGAGUGGCGAACGGGUGAGUAAUGCGUCGGAACGUAUCCAAUAAUGGGGGAUAACGCAGCGAGAGCUGUGCUAAUACCGCAUACGCCCUCCGGGGGAAAGCAGGGGAUCGUAAGACCUUGCGUUAAUGGAGCGGCCGACGUCUGAUUAGCUAGUUGGUAGGGUAAAGGCCUACCAAGGCGACGAUCAGUAGCUGGUCUGAGAGGAUGAUCAGCCACACUGGGACUGAGACACGGCCCAGACUCCUACGGGAGGCAGCAGUGGGGAAUUUUGGACAAUGGGCGCAAGCCUGAUCCAGCCAUUCCGCGUGAGUGAAGAAGGCCUUCGGGUUGUAAAGCUCUUUCAGGAGGGAAGAAACGAUUGUGGCUAAUACCCAUGAUUAAUGACGGUACCUUCAGAAGAAGCACCGGCUAACUACGUGCCAGCAGCCGCGGUAAUACGUAGGGUGCGAGCGUUAAUCGGAAUUACUGGGCGUAAAGCGUGCGCAGGCGGUUUUUCAAGUCUGAUGUGAAAUCCCCGGGCUUAACCUGGGAACUGCGUUGGAAACUGAAAGACUAGAGUGCGGCAGAGGGGGGUAGAAUUCCACGUGUAGCAGUGAAAUGCGUAGAUAUGUGGAGGAAUACCGAUGGCGAAGGCAGCCCCCUGGGUCGACACUGACGCUCAUGCACGAAAGCGUGGGUAGCAAACAGGAUUAGAUACCCUGGUAGUCCACGCCCUAAACGAUGUCAACUAGUUGUUGGGGAGGGAGACCUCCUUAGUAACGCAGCUAACGCGUGAAGUUGACCGCCUGGGGAGUANGGUCGCAAGAUUAAAACUCAAAGGAAUUGANGGGGGCCCGCACAAGCGGUGGAUUAUGUG